This 254-nucleotide ribosomal RNA is filed under the name uncultured bacterium. Its description in RNAcentral is "partial small subunit ribosomal RNA". It matches the Rfam family "Bacterial small subunit ribosomal RNA", at positions 26 to 285 of the family's 1533-position model. The record is from RNAcentral.
AGGACGAACGCUGGCGGCGUGCUUAACGCAUGCAAGUCGAGCGGAAAGGCCCUUCGGGGUACUCGAGCGGCGAACGGGUGAGUAACACGUGAGCAACCUGCCCUUAGCUUCGGGAUAGCUCCGGGAAACCGGAAUUAAUACCGAAUAUGACCAAGGCCGACAUCAGCCUUGGUGGAAAGUUUUUCGGCUAGGGAUGGACUCGCGGCCUAUCAGCUAGUUGGUGAGGUAACGGCUCACCAAGGCGACGACGGGUA